This is a long non-coding RNA of Solanum pennellii, 571 nucleotides long. RefSeq lists it as uncharacterized. NCBI's taxonomy places the organism in Eukaryota, Viridiplantae, Streptophyta, Magnoliopsida, Solanales, Solanaceae. The transcript is spliced from 3 exons. The record is from RefSeq and is a predicted model, not a curated record.
AAUAGGCUAUUUUCAUGUUAAAUCCAAAAAACCUUUUUUCAGCUUACUACUUAUCUCUUAAAAUCUUAUUUCUAGGGUAGUCAUUUUCUAAGAAAUCAAUUUUACAGCUUCAAAAUUAUAUCCAAAAUCCUCCCAAAAUCAAAGUUACCAUAAAAUUCUUAAUCAAUUAGAUCUCUAUCAAGCUUCCACGAAAUUAGGAUCUGGGUUGUUAUGUCUAAACGAAAUACCACAAGGAUAAUCACAAGAGGAUAUACUUCUGCUAUGGAAUUACAUAAGAAGUCGAAAGAUGAAAUAGUAAGGACUCCUUCAAAAAGAAAAGCAGGGUCAACGGUGAAAGCGAUUCAAAAAAAUUGUUACAAGAGGAGGAAACUAAAAAAUGUAGUUUCCGACAUGAUCGGAGAACAUGCAGUUAAUGAAGAACAAGACGAAGUCAGUGAAGAAUUAAAGGUAUGUACAUUUUUUAUUUUUUUUAUUUUUUUGAAUAAUUUUUGCAUAUGUACAUGCAGUGUACUUUAAUUUGUAAAAUUUACUUAAAUGAAUAUAGUUUUUGAUUAUGAUAUAGUAUUUAUGU